GCUAACGUGGCUUAACCAUAAAGCAUAACACUGAAGAUGUUAAGAUGGACCCUAGAAAGUCCCGCAAGCA
Molecule: transfer RNA, 70 nt
Filed under: Cottus bairdii (mottled sculpin)
Lineage: Eukaryota; Metazoa; Chordata; Actinopteri; Perciformes; Cottidae
Also listed under: 1 other name
Description: tRNA-Phe
Rfam family: tRNA
About the family: Transfer RNA (tRNA) molecules are approximately 80 nucleotides in length.
Source: RNAcentral